UUCUCCUCACUAUCGGUCGUCCCACACUCCAUCUCCACCAUUUCACACAAAAUCCCCAAAUCACAAACAAAAAUCCCUAAUUGGAGAAGACCUUAGUUCCGUCGCCUUCCGUCGCACUCCAUCGCCCAGCUUCCCCUUCUCCACUUCUUCCCUUUCUUUCUCUUCUUUCCAGCCUCACGCCGCCUCCCCCCUCUCUCUCUUGAUCCGCCGUCGUCGUUCAUGCACAGGCGGCGGCUUCGGCCUCCUCCGCGCCUCAUGUUACCGGAGCAGCCUCCCGGCGCCACUCCAGCCCCGGCCACUGCCUCCUCGCCGAACUCCCGGCAGAUUCAUCAAGAUUGUGAAGUUAUCCUUGGCAUGAGGGGUGUGGGCUGUCGGAGCUGCCGACGGAUUCCAGAUAGGAAAGUGUCCACAAAAUCAACUUUCUAACCUUGGGGUUAUUAUCGAAUUCAUUUUGGGGUUUCACGUUCUUUGAUCUACUUUAGCAUUUCUUGUUACUUGGAAGACUUGGGUGACACAUAUUAAACUUACUGUGGCUUGGGGUUGUGAAUUCCAAAUUUGGGCAGAUUCUGUCUUCAAAACAAAUAUGCAUAUGCUUGUAUGUAAAUGUAAAGGAAAGAAGGGUUUGGGAUUCACCUUUUUGAUGUGGAAUAAAGGGUUGUUAGAUUGUAGUGCUUGUCUAUACAAUUAUCUGCAGCUCUCCACCUUCGAUUUCUAUGUGGAAUUGUUGGAAAGAAAGUUUGAUUGUGAUGUUGGUGGGUAAAAAUGAUUGUGAUAUCUAUAUACAUAUACACAAAAGAUGGAAGAUGGCAGUGAACCUUAUCUGGAAGAUAGAAGUGAACCUUAUCUUUCAAAAUAUUCUGUCAGAGGAUAUGAUUUCCUUCUGCCCUCUAAUUAAUGCAGCAUUAAAUGCUUCAUGAUGACAUUUACUCUCUCGAAUCUUUCCAAUGUUAUAUUAAAUUUUCUUUUUUUUUCUUGUUUAUUAUUUUAAUUAUUUGAGUAUUUAUUUACUUGUUCAUUUAAUUUGGUGUAGGUAUAAUCGGUUCAGGUUCGUGGCUGGCCGCGUUGAAGUUCCCGAUUUUUAUUAGAACGCAGGAUGUAUAGAUUAAAUUUUGUUGGACUUUUGUUGGAUGUAUCGGACAUCAAAAUUUUGAUUUUGGGAUCUUAUUUAUUUAUUUAUUUAAAUUUAUUAUUUUCAUA
Salvia splendens (bonfire salvia) is the source of this 1197-nucleotide long non-coding RNA. RefSeq lists it as uncharacterized. The record is from RefSeq and is a predicted model, not a curated record. The transcript has 2 exons. NCBI's taxonomy places the organism in Eukaryota, Viridiplantae, Streptophyta, Magnoliopsida, Lamiales, Lamiaceae.